Molecule: ribosomal RNA, 495 nt
Filed under: uncultured bacterium
Lineage: Bacteria
Description: partial 16S ribosomal RNA
Rfam family: Bacterial small subunit ribosomal RNA
Source: RNAcentral
GACGAACGCUGGCGGCGUGCCUAAUACAUGCAAGUAGAACGCUGAAGGAGGAGCUUGCUUCUCUGGAUGAGUUGCGAACGGGUGAGUAACGCGUAGGUAACCUGCCUGGUAGCGGGGGAUAACUAUUGGAAACGAUAGCUAAUACCGCAUAAUAGUAGAUGUCGCAUGACAUUUGCUUAAAAGGUGCAAUUGCAUCACUACCAGAUGGACCUGCGUUGUAUUAGCUAGUUGGUGAGGUAACGGCUCACCAAGGCAACGAUACAUAGCCGACCUGAGAGGGGGAUCGGCCACACUGGGACUGAGACACGGCCCAGACUCCUACGGGAGGCAGCAGUAGGGAAUCUUCGGCAAUAGACGGAAGUCUGACCGAGCAACGCCGCGUGAGUGAAGAAGGUUUUCGGAUCGUAAAGCUCGGUUGUAAGAGAAGAACGAGUGUGAGAGUGGAAAGUUCACACUGUGACGGUAUCUUACCAGAAAGGGACGGCUAACUACGUG